AUCGAGCAUUGCACCAGAAGUCGUAGUCUACCAGGAGAGUCAAGGAUAACUCGAGAGCAAUCGAGGCAUAAUCGUAGUCUGCAGGAUAGUAGAUCUCGGAGUUCCUAGACUUCCAAGGGAAACAAAGAAGGAUCGUAGUGUGUCGAGAAGAACUUCCUCAGAGCCGAAGUCUGCUGAGGAAGUCAUGUUCAGAAUCGUAGAGACAGCCUGCCUACGAGACGACCGAGCCUCUGCCGAAGCCAAGUCAGAAACGUAGACUACACUCGGAGUCGUAGAGUCUACCGAUGCUGAAGC
RNAcentral lists this long non-coding RNA (294 nucleotides) under Panax ginseng (ginseng). RNAcentral's name for it is "long non-coding RNA (PGIN_LNC015883)". Lineage: Eukaryota; Viridiplantae; Streptophyta; Magnoliopsida; Apiales; Araliaceae. The record is from RNAcentral.